Ribosomal RNA from Petromyzon marinus (sea lamprey), 119 nucleotides. Lineage: Eukaryota; Metazoa; Chordata; Hyperoartia; Petromyzontiformes; Petromyzontidae. The record is from Ensembl.
ACCUACGACCAUAUGACCCUGAAUGCGCCCGAUCUCGUCUGAUCUCGGAAGCUAUGCAUGGUCGAGCCUGAUUAGUAUUUGCAUGGGAGACUGCCUGGGAAUACCAGGUGUUGUAGGCU